RNAcentral lists this transfer RNA (75 nucleotides) under Camelus bactrianus (Bactrian camel). It matches the Rfam family "tRNA". From Rfam's summary of the family: Transfer RNA (tRNA) molecules are approximately 80 nucleotides in length. Their secondary structure includes four short double-helical elements and three loops (D, anti-codon, and T loops). Further hydrogen bonds mediate the characteristic L-shaped molecular structure. tRNAs have two regions of fundamental functional importance: the anti-codon, which is responsible for specific mRNA codon recognition, and the 3' end, to which the tRNAs corresponding amino acid is attached (by aminoacyl-tRNA synthetases). tRNAs cope with the degeneracy of the genetic code in two manners: having more than one tRNA (with a specific anti-codon) for a particular amino acid; and 'wobble' base-pairing, i.e. permitting non-standard base-pairing at the 3rd anti-codon position. RNAcentral also lists the same sequence under 2 other names. The record is from Rfam by way of RNAcentral. Lineage: Eukaryota; Metazoa; Chordata; Mammalia; Artiodactyla; Camelidae.
GAGGCUGUAGCUCAGUGGUCGAGUGUGUGCUUGGAUCCAAGCAUGAGGUCCUGGGUUCAAUCUCCAGCACCCCCA